UAGGGAAUCUUCGGCAAUGGGGGCAACCCUGACCGAGCAACGCCGCGUGAGUGAAGAAGGUUUUCGGAUCGUAAAGCUCUGUUGUAAGAGAAGAACGUGUGUGAGAGUGGAAAGUUCACACAGUGACGGUAACUUACCAGAAAGGGACGGCUAACUACGUGCCAGCAGCCGCGGUAAUACGUAGGUCCCGAGCGUUGUCCGGAUUUAUUGGACGUAAAGCGAGCGCAGGCGGUUUAAUAAGUCUGAAGUUAAAGGCAGUGGCUUAACCAUUGUUCGCUUUGGAAACUGUUAAACUUGAGUGCAGAAGGGGAGAGUGGAAUUCCAUGUGUAGCGGUGAAAUGCGUAGAUAUAUGGAGGAACACCGGUGGCGAGAGCGGCUCUCUGGUCUGUAACUGACGCUGAGGCUCGAAAGCGUGGGGGGCAAACAGG
This 429-nucleotide ribosomal RNA is filed under the name bacterium. RNAcentral's name for it is "partial 16S ribosomal RNA". It matches the Rfam family "Bacterial small subunit ribosomal RNA", at positions 355 to 776 of the family's 1533-position model. The record is from RNAcentral.